CAGUAGCCGCGGUAAUACGAAGGGUGCAAGCGUUACUCGGAAUUACUGGGCGUAAAGCGUGCGUAGGUGGUGGUUUAAGUCCGUUGUGAAAGCCCUGGGCUCAACCUGGGAAUUGCAGUGGAUACUGGGUCACUAGAGUGUGGUAGAGGAUAGUGGAAUUUCCGGUGUAGCAGUGAAAUGCGUAGAGAUCGGAAGGAACAUCUGUGGCGAAGGCGACUAUCUGGGCCAACACUGACACUGAGGCACGAAAGCGUGGGGAGCAAACAGGAUUAGAUACCCCCGUAGUCCCUGUCUCUUAACA
RNAcentral lists this ribosomal RNA (301 nucleotides) under uncultured bacterium. Its description in RNAcentral is "partial 16S ribosomal RNA". It matches the Rfam family "Bacterial small subunit ribosomal RNA", at positions 509 to 808 of the family's 1533-position model. The record is from RNAcentral.